RNAcentral lists this long non-coding RNA (609 nucleotides) under Sinocyclocheilus grahami. Its description in RNAcentral is "lncRNA (ENSSGRG00000035048.1)". Lineage: Eukaryota; Metazoa; Chordata; Actinopteri; Cypriniformes; Cyprinidae. The record is from RNAcentral.
CUGUUACCAUGGAGAUUGUAAACAAAACACGCUAAUACAAACUAACGUGUCUACGCGUUAACAUUAGCGAUAGCUCAGCAUCUGACGGCGGUUUUUUAAUGUUUGAUGAAUAAAUAUAGCUGUUUUAUAGGUUGAUCGUUUGCUGAGAUGGACUCGCAGUACGUGAGCCGGACUCUGGCGCUCUGUCUCUCUCAGGGUCUCGCGGAGCUGCUCGAGCAGAGGCCACCGGAUCCCAUCGAGUUCCUGGCGCUCUGGAUCCUCAAAUACAAGCAGAACCAGGAGCUCCAGGAGCAGAUAGAUGCUGCACAAGAUCCUGGAGACCAGACCGAGUCAGAGACCGUGAAAGAGCUCUCAGAUCCACCGAAUGAGGCUGCGGCAGAGCAUCAGGAGGAGCCCGGCGAAGCUGCUGCAGGUGAGGAACAAACCUCUGAGAUCCUGAACACCGACCAAUCACAGUCUCAGGACACGCAGAAGGAAAAUGAUCGAGCAGAUGUCCCAUCCGAAGAGAACGAGCCUGAAGCAGAGAAGACAGAAGAAGACUCUGAUGAGAGACAGACGGAAACUGAGGACAAAGUGAGAAUGCUUGGAGAAAUAAACAUUUAGAAUAUC